Pelobates cultripes (western spadefoot toad) is the source of this 243-nucleotide non-coding RNA. The record is from the annotation of a GenBank genome assembly. NCBI's taxonomy places the organism in Eukaryota, Metazoa, Chordata, Amphibia, Anura, Pelobatidae.
CUCGCAUUGAUGUGCCAUCCUGGAUGAGCUGCACUACCUGAGCCACUUGUGUGGGUUGUAGACUCAGUCUCAUGCUACCACUAGAGUGAAAGCACCGCCAGCAUUCAAAAGUGACCAAAACAUCAGCCAGGAAGCAUAGGAACUGAGAAGUGGUCACCACCUGCAGAACCACUCCUUUAUUGGGGGUGUCUUGCUAAUUGCCUAUAAUUUCCACCUGUUGUCUAUCCCAUUUGCACAACAGCA